This is a long non-coding RNA of Acanthochromis polyacanthus (spiny chromis), 505 nucleotides long. RefSeq lists it as uncharacterized. NCBI's taxonomy places the organism in Eukaryota, Metazoa, Chordata, Actinopteri, Pomacentridae. The record is from RefSeq and is a predicted model, not a curated record. The transcript is spliced from 4 exons.
GCAACAUUAAAGCCGGAGCCGGAACAUAACACGAAGAAGAAGAAGAGCUUCGCUAACUGGGUAUUGCUAAACACGCGAGACCACGUUGAAGGCGGAGGAGGGGUGUGCGUUUUUCCGUGUCUUUGCACACAGGAUGACACUGCAGGAGCUGACUUGAACCGUCUCAUCAUGGAGGAGGCCCCAUCCUGAAACACACAGACUUCCAUGUGGCAAAACAUGUAUUGAAAUGUAGAAAUGCAGGAAUCCUCACACAGACAUCGGUAUGACCAACCUCCAGGCUGAGAAGAGCAGCCAGAGGACGGGCAAGCAGUGACCAUUUCCAAAGCAGGACUGUGAGAAACGGCUUCACUUUUGGUAACUAUGAUCACACUCUAUGAUCUUUUUAACUGAAACAUUUUUCCAUCAUGUAAAGUUUGAUUUUGUGCCAGAAACUAUUUCAUUUGAUGAUUUCUGUGGAUGUGAAAUGUACCUCUUCUCAAAAAAUAAACUUAUAAUUGCCUUAAAA